RNAcentral lists this ribosomal RNA (325 nucleotides) under uncultured eukaryote. RNAcentral's name for it is "partial 18S ribosomal RNA". It matches the Rfam family "Eukaryotic small subunit ribosomal RNA", at positions 1470 to 1796 of the family's 1831-position model. The record is from RNAcentral.
CCCUUAGAUGUUCUGGGCAGCACGCGCGCUACAAUGGUCUUCGCAAACGGAUGCAUUCUCGAAGGAGAAUGCCAAUCUUGGAAUCUAUGCCUUGGUCGGGACAGUUGCUUGCAAUUUUUCGACUCGAACCAGGAAUUCCUUGUAAUCGUGAUUCAUCACAUCACGAUGAAUACGUCCCUGCCCUUUGUACACACCGCCCGUCGCUACUACCGAUUGGAUGGUUUAGUGAGAUCCUCGGAUUGGUCACGGCACGGUGGCAACACCGCGUCGGUGUGCCGAGAAGACGAUCAAACUUGAUCAUCUAGAGGAAGUAAAAGUCGUAACA